Long non-coding RNA from Amphiprion ocellaris (clown anemonefish), 1290 nucleotides. The record is from Ensembl. Lineage: Eukaryota; Metazoa; Chordata; Actinopteri; Pomacentridae.
CACAUCAUCCCAACAAAAGGAUGCCUUCAGUGACCCGCUGGAGCCCUCUAGAGUUUAGAUCCAGUCUGACUCCAGAUGGAGGCCAGGAAAUGAAAGAGGAAGUCUGGUUGCAUGGAUGUUGGUCUCCAUGGAUACACCACAACAAAUCAGCACCGAGGCAGAGAUUUAGCAGAAGCGACGGAGGCGUAUUUUUAAACUGUUUAGAGUUCAGUUUCCGAGUUCUCUGAGGUUGUUAAUCCUGACUGAGCGGAGGCCAUGUACAGAGUUUCCUCGUCGGUUAAAGUGAAGCAGAUGGAGGCAGAGCUGUCGCAUCAACUCGCAGCUCUCAGGGCGGAAAUCGAGGAGAAUGGGUUUCCACGAGGAGCAGGGACGGCCAACUCUUACAGCUCUGUUCCACCUCCCAAAGAUGUUUCCUUCUUUCGUCUGGAGAGGGAACAUGCACUGAGGAGGGAGCUGCAGGUGGCUGAAGCUUCGCGGGUUCAGUCUGCGGCUGACGUCAUGCAGGAAGAGCUGCAGAGCUGCUGGAGUUUAGAAUACAGUCCUGAAAAUCUGCUGCUUCUGCUGCACCAGUUCUUCAUGGACAGAUCGUAUCACCUGGCUCAGAUCAAAUAUCAACUCAUGCUGAGAUGGAGGAGAUUCUGUCGCCACACCGGCGUCAUCGAGAAGCUUUAUCCUCAUUACAAGGUGCAAUCCUGUGGGAGAGAAGUGUAUGUGGCAAACAGGCUGGGGACCUGGAACCUUUGACUGAAUUUUCUCUCUCAUAUCUACCUAGGGAACUGAUACCUACACAUCUACUACAAUACAAGGAAAAACAACACAAGCCACAAGAAUAUCACAGGCCCUCUCAACAAUGACCCUGAGGUGACAUCAACACUAUAAAUGAACUUUCACCGAACCUAUGAUCAUCUACACCUAUGAGCCUGGUUGAAGUUCUGUUUGGGGUCAAGUUAGAAGAUCAUCACUCUGGCUUGACAUGGUAACCUCUAUCACCCAGCAGAAGACCAUCAAACUCUCCUGUAAUGUACACUGGAUACAUUAGAGUAUAUUGAAGAACAUAGACAAGUCAAUCAUAUUGUUAAAAUCUUUAGGCAGCUUAGCACAUUGCAGUCUAUUGCUCAGGUUAAACUCAUCACAAAUCCUCUAGUCAUGAACAAAACCAGGCUACUUGACCUCCACAUUAGAAAUAAUAUAUGCAGCAUCACAUAUGAUCUUGACAGUGCAGAGAAUAACACAUGUUGAACUAUAAUGCAGCCUUUAACAUGUUGAAACUGUACUCAAUCUACCUCUAAC